Molecule: long non-coding RNA, 908 nt
Organism: Oryzias melastigma (Indian medaka)
Lineage: Eukaryota; Metazoa; Chordata; Actinopteri; Beloniformes; Adrianichthyidae
Exons: 2
Source: RefSeq, a predicted model, not a curated record
UCCCUGGGGCCUCCGACCAGUGGGACAUGCCUGGAACACCUAUUCCGGGAGGCAUCCAGACCAGAUGCCCGAGUCACCUCAAUUGGCUCCUCUGGAUGUGGAGAAGAAGCGACUCUACUCCGAAGUCCCUCCAGACUCAAUUUCAAAGAGGAGCGACAGCAGCGGCCCAAGUGUUGGUUAAUCACAUUUUCUCAUUAAUCUAAAGCCACCGUAGAUGCCUUCCGAUUACGACAUGAAUAAUAAAUAGGUCUGUUAAGUCUUCUCGUGCUGGGAGAAGCCACAUUUAAUUCACAACCCAUCCGAGUGUGUUAAAAGAACUGCUUCUCCAAAGUGUAAAAUACCACAAACUGCCUCAGACACAUGACAUUGUUUUCUCCACUUAAUAAACAGCCAGUCAAGAUGUGUUAAAGUGGAACAUGCUGGUGGCGUGUUGUGCUUGGAAUAAGUGAGAGAGACGGACACUAAAGAGUACAGUGGUGAAUGUGUACAUGUGUGUGAAUAUGAUGUGCGUUCAAUAACACGCUGAAUGUGGGUUCUUGAGCACGCUUUUAGCAUAUGGUGUUCACACACCAGAGUCACUACCCGAUCCUAGCACAUGUACUUAGAAGAGGCGUGGUGUCGACGUGGUGCAAAUCUGUGAAUCUUGCUCCAGGCUUUUUCUUCCACAGCUCUAUUCUGAUAUAUAUAAAAGACUUGAUGUCAUAGAAUUCCAGACAGAAUGAUAAAAAUGUUUCCCUCAAUGUUUAUCAUCAAGUGUGAACUAGAUGUAUAGCAUUACCUGUGAUAAUGCAAGUGUGAAUGCUGUCAACUGAAUGUGACCGCUAAAGACGCCAGAGCUGUUAGCUGAAAAUGCUAAGCUAAAAGCUUGCUAAAAAUAUUAGCUACAUAGCAAAUUUAGCCAAAAAAAA